GUAGGUGGCGAGCGUUGUCCGGAAUAACUGGGCGUAAAGGGAGCGUAGGUGGUGAUUUAAGUUAGGUGUGAAAGCCCAGGGCUCAACUCUGGAAUUGCACUUAAAACUGGGUCACUAGAGUGCAGGAGGGGUGAACGGAAUUUCUAGUGUAGCGGUGAAAUGCGUAGAUAUUAGGAAGAACACCGGAGGCGAAGGCGGUUCACUGGACUGCAACUGACACUGAGGCUCGAAAGCGUGGGGAGC
Molecule: ribosomal RNA, 243 nt
Filed under: uncultured bacterium
Lineage: Bacteria
Description: partial 16S ribosomal RNA
Rfam family: Bacterial small subunit ribosomal RNA
Source: RNAcentral